This 426-nucleotide ribosomal RNA is filed under the name uncultured bacterium. RNAcentral's name for it is "partial 16S ribosomal RNA". It matches the Rfam family "Bacterial small subunit ribosomal RNA", at positions 354 to 796 of the family's 1533-position model. The record is from RNAcentral.
GUGAGGAAUUUUCCGCAAUGGGCGAAAGCCUGACGGAGCAAUGCCGCGUGAAGGAUGAAGGCCUAUGGGUUGUAAACUUCUUUUCUCAGAAAAGAAUUAUGACGGUAUCUGAGGAAUAAGCAUCGGCUAACUCUGUGCCAGCAGCCGCGGUAAGACAGAGGAUGCAAGCGUUAUCCGGAAUGAUUGGGCGUAAAGCGCCUGUAGGUUGUUUAAAAAGUAUUCUGUCAAAGAUUAGGGCUUAACCCUAGAUAGGCAGAAUAAACUUUUAAGCUAGAGUUUGGUAGAGGCAGAGGGAAUUCCCGGUGGAGCGGUGAAAUGCGUAGAUAUCGGGAGGAACACCAAAGGCGAAGGCACUCUGCUGGGCCAAUACUAACACUGAGAGACGAAAGCGAGGGGAGCAAAUGGGAUUAGAUACCCGAGUAGUCC